CAAUAGCGUAUAUUAAAGUUGUUGCAGUUAGAACGCUCGUAGUCGGAUUUCGGGGCGGGCCGACCGGUCUGCCGAUGGGUAUGCACUGGUCGGCGCGUCCUUCCUUCCGGAGACCGUUCCUACUCUUAACUGAGCGGGGGCGGGAGACGGAUCGUUUACUUUGAAAAAAUCAGAGUGCUUCAAGCAGGCAGCUCGCUCUUGCAUGGAUUAGCAUGGGAUAAUGAAAUAGGACUUUGGUGCUAUUUUGUUGGUUUCGAACACCGAAGUAAUGAUUAAAAGGGACAGUCAGGGGCACUCGUAUUCCGCCGAGAGAGGUGAAAUUCUCAGACCAGCGGAAGACGAACUACUGCGAAAGCAUUUGCCAGGGAUGUUUUCACUG
RNAcentral lists this ribosomal RNA (379 nucleotides) under uncultured eukaryote. RNAcentral's name for it is "partial 18S ribosomal RNA". It matches the Rfam family "Eukaryotic small subunit ribosomal RNA", at positions 592 to 975 of the family's 1831-position model. The record is from RNAcentral.